This is a long non-coding RNA of Polypterus senegalus (gray bichir), 1499 nucleotides long. RefSeq lists it as uncharacterized. The record is from RefSeq and is a predicted model, not a curated record. The transcript is spliced from 2 exons. NCBI's taxonomy places the organism in Eukaryota, Metazoa, Chordata, Cladistia, Polypteriformes, Polypteridae.
UGAUCUUCACAGGUGAGUUAAUGCUGGUGGUCUGGACUGCUGAAUUCCUGAUGAUUCUCGUCCUUUUUUGAGCCCCUGACGUGUUCUUCUUGUGAUCUUCUGAUUCUUUUCUCUUUCGGUGGCCCAGCUGCUGUUCUUCUUGUCUUUUUAUUCUUUAAUUCUCCGUGUGGUUUGAUGUCACUGAGAUGUCAAUUGUGUCAUUUCUAACACCUACCAGCAGGUGGCGAUGCUAGCAGGUCACUCUGCCAUUUUGAUCUGAAUGGUCAGCUCAGGUCAGAGGAGAGCUGGGAGUGGACAGCAGUAGUCAGAAGUAAUGGGGGUCACUUCACAGUCCACUCAGACCACCUCUGUGCCCAGGGGACUGGACUUUGUGAUGCUGAGUGUCCAUUCAGAGCUCAUCCACUGGCUUUAUUACAAAUUAGGAGAGAAAUUAGAAAACUGAGGUGACCAGCAGUGAGGCCUUUAGUGGACUGAGGUCAGCUGGUCAGUGGCACCGGUCAGCAUGUGACAUGUGAGUGUCAGAAGUGUCACAUGUCAGUCCUGUCCACCCUGUCCAUUAUGUCACUGAUCACACAGUUAGUCCAGUCUUUGUCACUAUAGACAGACAGAGGGUCCUCAUCGUCUAAGUGGUCUGACAUCAGUAGAGCCCACCAUGACAGACACUCGAGUGUCGUGCUCUCCGAUGUCCAGCAGUGACCGGCGUGUCUAACAGGAAUCUGUGGAUGGGGUCCUGCAAAUCAGUCAAAGCCCCUCCAUGUGCUGAGUCCUCAGUUACAGACACAAAUCCAAGGUGGUCCCUCUGCUGUCAUCGGCUUUGACAAGUCUGUCUGGCCCUCGAGUGCAGGACACUGUCAGCCUCAUGUCCUUCACAUUCCUGUCCACAUGUCACUUUGAGUGACGUGUCACCAGUCAGAGUGGCAGGAAGGCAGAAGACGCUGUCAGGUAUAUAGCGCCUUACCUUAUAAGGACAGCGGUGGUCUCAGGGUCAAAGUGCAUUUCAGUGAGGACAGCGCAGUCAUUGAGCCCUUGUGCUGUGUGUCCUUAUGUCUGUCUGUCCUCACUCAUCUCUCUUCUUCUUCUUCACAGGUUGAACUUUUGUGGUCUCACCUCGGCCUGCUGCUCAGCUCUCUCCUCGGUCCUCUCGUAUCCAGACUCACGGCUUACAUAUCUGGACCUGAACAACAACAAGCUGGGCGAUUCAGGGGCUCGUCAGCUGAGUGAGGGGCUCAGGAGUGACAACUGUAUAUUAAAGGAACUGUGGCUGUGGAGUAAUGGGAUCAGUAAGAGUGAGAAGAGGAACCUGAAGUCACUACAGGAGGAGCUGAGGAGGUCUGGACGUCAGCUGACUAUCAGUACAUCAAUUUUCUAGCUCUGGUGAUCAGACUGACCCCCUGUCAGUGACGGAGCCCCCGUCCACUCUCCCCUAAAUUCUCCUCUUUCUUCUUUUUCUUCUCCUGUCAGCUCUGCUCCUCAUUUAAUAAAUUCUCUGUGUCCCCUCA